UAAAAUUAUAAAAUUGCAUUUGGGUUGAAAGAUGGGAAGCCCUCAAAACGCACAUAGUACUAACUUUAUAACGCAGCCACACGCGGUGCAAGCUUGACAAAAAUGUUGGCUUUUUUAAAAACAACCACUUUUGUUAUAAUCUCUCCCAUUCCAAACAGUCCUCUUAUUCAUUAAAAAAGCAUAUGAAAUAGGUUCGCAUUCAACGAAAAACUUAGAGACGCUGCAAGUAUUGGCGGAUUUUUAUCGUAAAUUAAUUUUAAAAAAAAUGAAAUUAAUAGCUAUAGAUAACACUGAACUAAGUGAAUACUCCAUUAGUUUGCUAAAUAGAUGUUACAUACAUACUGUAAAUAAUUUCCUGAAUGAAAAAACCGAGAAGUUAAAAAAUAUUCUAAAUCUUAAAGAAGAGCAAGUAGACGACCUCAAAAAACUUCUGCGUCAACGGUUUGGCCCCACGAAAAUAAAACUAGCUCAGUUAUAUUCGCGUUGGGAAUCAAAUGGAUGUUUGUAUAAAACUGGUAUAAGCAAUUUGGAUAGUAUGUUGGGUGGCGAGUCCUUACAAAGCGGUAGCGUUUGGGAAAUGUGUGGACCAUCGGGUGUUGGGAAAACGCAAUGGGCCCUUUCGGUAGCUAUAAAUUUCGUCAUAAGUAAAGGCUUGCAAGUUUUGUAUAUCGAUACAAAAUUGGAUCUUUCCGCAAUUCGCAUAAAGCAAAUGCUACAAUCGCGUUAUAUGAUCAAUGCGGAGAUGCACGCUGGUAUCAUGCAACUUAUCAAGGUGGAACGUUGUCUUUCCGCGCAGGGAGUGAUAAAUAUGCUUGAGAAUUUUGAAAGAGAAAUAGAAUACAAAAAUCCAAGGGUAAUGAAGACUAAUUUAAUUAUUAUUGAUUCACUGCCAGCUGUGUGGUUACUUUUAAAAGCUAAUGAAGAUUGCCUAUCGGGCAAAUGGUUGCUAUCGCGUCUUAAUAAUUUAAUAUACAAAUUGGCUCAGAAAUAUUAUGUGGCUAUCAUCAUAAUUAAUCUUUCGGUGCCCAUAAUAGCUGAUGGACAAUUAAAUAAAAACUUUAAUCGUACCCAACAUGGAGAAGAGAAUGAUGACCUCUACGGUGAAAAUGCUUAUUCCCAGGAAAUAAUUUUAGCACAAUACGGUAAAUUAAGACCAAUGUUAGGUCGCUAUUGGCAAUCAAUACCUCGUCUACGUUUAUCAUUGGAUUACGGAUCAAAAAUGCCAGACGAAGAUGUCACCCUUCGUUAUAUAAGAAUUUUAAAUAGUUGCUAUACUACUAUUAAUUUAAAAUGUCCAGUCCACUUAACUGCUAAAGGCAUAAUUUAACCUCUUUCUGCUUCUAAAAAUUUGUUUGUGAACACUUCUCCCUGCGUCCGACAUGAUGACGAUUUUAAUAAAUCGCUGGCACUCGGUAAAAGUUUUGUUUUUGCAGUUGUUCUAUAGUCUGACAAGCAUGCCUUACACUGCAAAUUUGGUAACGCCCCACACAAAUAUUUGCAGUAAACAAUCGGCUUAAUGGCUUUCAG
This is an RNA transcript of Glossina fuscipes, 1527 nucleotides long. It is a transcript of the gene named DNA repair protein RAD51 homolog 4, with no coding region annotated. The record is from RefSeq and is a predicted model, not a curated record. Lineage: Eukaryota; Metazoa; Arthropoda; Insecta; Diptera; Glossinidae. The transcript has 3 exons.